CCUACGGGUGGCAGCAGUGGGGAAUAUUGCACAAUGGGGGGAACCCUGAUGCAGCAACGCCGCGUGGGUGAAGAAGUACUUCGGUAUGUAAAGCCCUGUCAGCAGGGAAGAAAAUGACGGUACCUGACCAAGAAGCCCCGGCUAACUACGUGCCAGCAGCCGCGGUAAUACGUAGGGGGCAAGCGUUAGCAGGAUUUACUGGGUGGAAAGGGGGCGCAGACGGCAGGGCAAGCCAGGGGUGAAAGCCAGGGGCCCAACCCGGGGACUGCUCUUGGAACUGCGCGGCUGGAGUGCAGGAGGGGCAGGCGGAAUUCCUGGUGUAGCGGUGAAAUGCGUAGAUAUCAGGAGGAACACCGGUGGCGAAGGCGGCCUGCUGGACUGCGACUGACGUUGAGGCCCGAAAGCGUGGGGAGCAAACAGGAUUAGAUACCCGAGUAGUC
RNAcentral lists this ribosomal RNA (440 nucleotides) under uncultured bacterium. Its description in RNAcentral is "partial 16S ribosomal RNA". It matches the Rfam family "Bacterial small subunit ribosomal RNA", at positions 338 to 795 of the family's 1533-position model. The record is from RNAcentral.